Molecule: ribosomal RNA, 253 nt
Filed under: uncultured bacterium
Lineage: Bacteria
Description: partial 16S ribosomal RNA
Rfam family: Bacterial small subunit ribosomal RNA
Source: RNAcentral
UACAGAGGUCUCAAGCGUUGUUCGGAUUCAUUGGGCGUAAAGGGCGCGUAGGCGGCGGGGUAAGUCGGGUGUGAAAUCUCAGAGCUCAACUCUGAAACUGCACUCGAUACUGCUUUGCUAGAGGACUGGAGAGGAGAUUGGAAUUCACGGUGUAGCAGUGAAAUGCGUAGAGAUCGUGAGGAAGACCAGUGGCGAAGGCGGAUCUCUGGACAGUUCCUGACGCUGAGGCACGAAGGCCAGGGGAGCAAACGGG